GACGAACGCUGGCGGCGUGCCUAAUACAUGCAAGUAGAACGCUGAAGGAGUAGCUUGCUCUUCUGGAUGAGUUGCGAACGGGUGAGUAACGCGUAGGUAACCUGCCUUGUAGCGGCUGAUAACUAUUGGAAACGAUAGCUAAUACCGCAUAAGAGUAGAUGUUGCAUGACAUUUGCUUAAAAGGUGCAAUUGCAUCACUACCAGAUGGACCUGCGUUGUAUUAGCUAGUUGGUGGGGUAACGGCUCACCAAGGCGACGAUACAUAGCCGACCUGAGAGGGUGAUCGGCCACACUGGGACUGAGACACGGCCCAGACUCCUACGGGAGGCAGCAGUAGGGAAUCUUCGGCAAUGGACGGAAGUCUGACCGAGCAACGCCGCGUGAGUGAAGAAGGGUUUCGGAUCGUAAAGCUCUGUUGUAAGAGAAGAACGAGUGUGAGAGUGGAAAGUUCACACUGUGACGGUAUCUUACCAGAAAGGGACGGCUAACUACGUG
Molecule: ribosomal RNA, 495 nt
Filed under: uncultured bacterium
Lineage: Bacteria
Description: partial 16S ribosomal RNA
Rfam family: Bacterial small subunit ribosomal RNA
Source: RNAcentral